Paramisgurnus dabryanus is the source of this 721-nucleotide long non-coding RNA. RefSeq lists it as uncharacterized. The record is from RefSeq and is a predicted model, not a curated record. NCBI's taxonomy places the organism in Eukaryota, Metazoa, Chordata, Actinopteri, Cypriniformes, Cobitidae.
UUGGUGGCUGUCGUAAGUUCACACGAAUCUGCUGAUGACGUUUCACAUGGACAGACAACUACACAUUAUUGUAUUUUUUAUUGUAUUUUUUGCGUGUGUUAUUUUUAUUUCAUUAUUAUGAAAAUCAUGAUCAUUAUUAUUGAGCCUUGGCUGGCAGUCUGUUUUGAAUUUGUUUUAUUGAAAAAACAAACACACAACGCAUAUUGUGUUGCGCCUGCGCAGUGACGUUCUUUUCCAACCGCCUUUCCAGUCAAGAGGUCAAGAAUGUUCCUGUCUGCAUCAGCUAUCCAUCUGAAAAAGAAAAGCUGGCACUCUCAAAGGAGAUUGUGUUGUUGGUUUAUGGUCUCAUUUGGUCAAAAAGAGGGACAUGUACCGAGCUUUUUUUUUUUGAUGGGCCAUCACACAGUGGAUUUAUAAAAAUAAGAUUACAGAACAUCAGACGGUAGCUUCAACAGAGUUGAAGUGGGAGGACAUCAUCAAUAAAGAAUGCCAUUGGCCAAACCUUCAGUCAUCAAAGAAGAUGGAUACAGGGGGACAUCAAGUUUUCCAGACUUACCGAUGGGAAAGAAGAAAUGGGAAUGUGACAAUUAUUGAGAAACUCAGGGAAAAAGCAUCUUUAGAGAAGAAAAUGGACAUCAGACAUUUAUUGAAGAAAGCUGACAGUCAACAUAAUGGUAUGAUUUCCUAUCUCUGUUCCAAAUGUUUAAAAUGUAACAUUCAA